AAAAUUGUGAGCCAAUCCAACCCGACCCGAUUAUGUCAUAGGCCAGCUAUGGGUCAAUAUUUUUUUACCUCAAAUCCGAAGUGACCCGACAGAUGAAUAGGUAUAGUCCGGUGGAAUCAAGAGACUGUCGUCACCAUCAGGAUCACGGAAGGGCUGAGUACGGGCGCUCACGCAACCGCGGCAAGGCAGUGUAUCAGCGCCGCCUCGCCGGUGAUGGACCGGUGGUGGCGCCGGGAGCGAACACGCAGUGGAAGGCGCACGGCCGCCUUGCCUUACGCGACCGCGGCAUUCAGAGGAACACUCUGCUGGAAUUGCUGAAGAUACCGCUUGAUGGUACUGGUCCUUCAAAAUCAUUUAGUGACAGAUUGAGUGCCUGCAAAGAACUCAACAAGGCGAGGAACUCUGGAAUUUUCCCUGACAAUUUGUUUCUAGAGAGAUCCAUUUCCUUGAUGCUUUUCAAGUUCAUGAGAGAUUCUGGAAUAUUUCCUGUAAGAAAAUUCCCUUCCAUGUGAAGAAAUUCCAAAAGCACACACUUACCUAGAGUAGAUGGAAUAUCACCAGUCAAGCGGUUAUUGGAAAUACUAAUGCUUCCAAGAUUGAUGAGUCUACCGAUCUCCAUCAGUAUGGGCCCUGUAAAGAAAUUGUUUGACAAAUCCAAGCUUUGUGAAAGUGAUGAGAUAUUGAAGAUCUCACUUGGGAUGCUUCCAUCGAAGGAAUUGUGAGAGACAUUCAGCAUCUGUAAUUGUCUCCAUUGGCCUAAACUUUUAGGUAUAUUCCCACUGAAGUUGUUCCCAUCCAGAUAAAACUCAGUUAGUUGGUCAAGGUUGCCAAUAGAGUCCGGAACAUAUCCAGAAAGGUUAUUUUGUGCAAAGCUUAGAACCAAUAAAUUUCUCAAAUUUCCCAUGGUAGGUGGUAUACUACCACUGAACAGGUUCAGAUCCAUAUACAACACUUUGAGGCUCCUAAGGUUUCCUAUCUCCAUUGGAAUUCCUCCAGUAAAUUUGUUUUGAUUGAGCCAUAGCCACUCCAGUUGCGAGGGAAGGUUACCAAUAGAACUUGGCAAGCUUCCUCGCAUACCAUUCCCAUCCAAGAAUAGCCAUUUUAGUUGAGUACAGUUUGCAAGGGAUGAGAGGAAGCUCCAAUCACCUGAUUCAAGCUGGUUGUAGGAAAGAUCAAGCUCCCGUAGGUUUGGUAAGGACCCAAAGGAUGGCACUGUCCCACUGAGUCCAGUGCUGACAAGAUAAAUCAUUUCUAGUUUGGAUGCAUUUACAAGAGAAGCCGGAAUCCCCCCACUCAAUUGUGUUUUUGACAGAAUCAAGCUCUGCAGGUUUGGAAGCCUGUAGCCAAUGUCUUGUGGCAGCCGUGCGGUGAGUGAGUUAUUGGCCAUUUCUAGAAAUUUCAAAGAAGACAUGUUGAAAAUAGACUGAGGCACUGGUCCAGACAAGUUGUUGAAUGUCAGAAUCAGCCUCUCAAGGGAAGGGAUGUUACUUAAGCUUUCUGGAAUGCUUCCAACCAAGUUAUUUACUGCAAGAGACAAACGAAUCAGGGAGGAAAGGUUGCCCAGUGAGGCUGGUAUCUCACCUGUAAGACUAUUCUGGGCUAGAAUUAGCAUUUUAAUAGGUGCAGCAGCUGCUGUGACAGUUGGUAUUGGGCCAACUAAUUUGUUACUCUGGAGGUAAAUGCUAGUCAGAGUGGAAGUAUUGAAGAGCGACGGGGGUAUCUCCCCAGUAAGGCUAUUUUGCAUGAGCCUAAGAACUUGAAGAGAUGAGCUAUUUGCCAAGAACUCUGGUAUUCCUCCUGUUAGCUGAUUAGCCCCAAGAUCAAGAUACACAAGAGAUGAGCUGCUGCCCAGCAAUGAUGGUAUAUUGCCUGUGAGGGCAUUGUUGGACAGGUCCAAAGUUUCCAGCUCACGAAGCAGCCCAAACCCAGUUGGGAUGCUUCCUUGCAACUUAUUGUUGUUUAGUGCAACUUGCUGGAGAUGAAUGCAUUGGGUUAAGCUUGGUGGGAUCUCACCUUGAAGGGAGUUUUUCCAUAAGCUGAGGACCUGGAGAUGGCUGCAGGAAGAUAGCUCAGUUGGGAUAUGUCCAUCAAGAGAGUUGAUGCUUAGGUUGAGGUAGAUGAUUUGGCUCAGGCUCCCAAGUUCAUUUGGGAUGCUUCCAUGGAAUGUAUUGUUUGACAAGUCAAUGCUUCUAAUGGCACUCAGGUUGCCUACACAAGGUGGUACUGGGCCACCAAGACCUUCAGAGCUCAAGUUUAGUGCCAUGACUCGAAAUGGGGUCUGUGCGCUGCAUGUAACACCUUGCCAGUUGCAGAAGUUAAGGGAUAUGUUGCUCCAAGAGACUAAGGCUCCACUGGGAUCAGAGAUUUGAGACUUGAAGCAGAGGAGAGCUUGUCGAUCAGUAUCGGUGUCAUCGCUAGUUGCUAAUGGCAUGGAGCAUGAGAGGAUGAGAAAAGCCAGUAGUGGUAUGAGCUCUAUAUGGGAUGCACCUAAGCUAAUCAUCUUGCAGCAGGUGCUGGGCAAUGCUGAAGCUCCGUUGUGCUUAUGAAAGUGUAUACACAUCCUUUUCUUAUAUACAUUUUCGCUCACCCAAUGACAUGGUCUAAUCUCACUAGUUUAAAAACAAAUUCUCUUCCUAACUGAAAAAUACUGAUAUUGACACAUUGAUUCUAUUGUGUAUGUCAAAUCUUGUGAGUUGACUACAGUUUCUGAGGUCUGACUCAUAUAAUCUAUUUGACUGUUAAUUGCUUUAUUUUCUGUCUCACAUUUGAAGAUGGCAACAGCCCAAUGUCAUGUUCACCAUGCAGUUCCUCCUCAGGAGAUUAAUAGAAAAUAAUGGAAUUUAGAUUGGAGAAUAUUUGUGCGUAUACAUACUUUUGUGGAUCAUAGAUGUAUUGCCAUAUUUGUUCCUUCUUGCGUACUUGUGCUUUCUUCUAAAAAACAAUUUCACUGAGGUAUGCUGCCAUUUGACAGUGACAUUUAACAACUAAAUUUAUGAUAACUUAGUUGAAUAACAGCAUACUGACAAGGACUGAGAAGACAAUGCUGAUUACUGAAUUGAAUGGAUGACAGACAGUAGUAAGAGUUUAAGACAAUGAUUUCCAGCGUUGGACAGAAUCCUCUUUUUGUAUUUACUGUUUACUCCCCUGUGACAUUCCUUAGCAGUGCGCAUAAACAGUAGAGUUUUAGCCUUUGUAGGCAAGACCAAAUUUUGAGCCCCUGUACAUUUUGAAUGAUAAUAGUUAAAGUUUCAUUUUAUAUGCAGGAUUAUCCCAGUCAGGAUUUAAAGAUAUAAAAUAUUGUUCAUAUUCGAAUUUCAUCUCUUAUAUAUAUUAUGUGCAUUCUUUGAAUAUUUAUAUUGUAUGUUGAGAUUCUUUCGAUGACUCAGUUUGCAUUGGCCACCUAUCUUCAGCGUAGGCGCCAAGGAAGAUAAUCCAAACAUGGAUGAGACUGACUCUGCCUGUAAAUGGAAUCAAUGAUCCCAGCUCAGUAUUGUAUAGCCAAUGAUUAGCCAUAUUCUGGUUAAAGAGGCCACUGAACCCAGGACACCUUGGUCGAAUAAUGUAAUGAUCCGUGAAAUAAUCUGCAUGUGUACACUGUACAACAAUGGUAAGAUGAUUUGGCAUACUGAUGCAGUUGCUUAAUGCGCAUGAUGCUUCAUUCUUUAUUUUUUAGAACAAUAACAUCUUUAGUGUAUAACCUCAAGUGAUUGCUUCCAUAUGGCAGUUAGUGAGAAGCAACAAGGCGAUAUAGUGACCACUGACCAGAUCGACACAGGAAGCAAGUGAUCUGUGUGAAUUGAUUCAGUGUAAGCACGAAGGUCUUACACGAAUAAUCUCGUCCUCUGAAUUUUAUUCCACUGGAUGUCAUGCAUUAUAACACAUACUAUAUAUCAUCUCGGAGACUUUGACUUUGACGUUUGACCUUGUAUUAGCCCUUAAGGCCAGGAAAGCGCAACAUCAUUGAGACACGAAGGAAUUCUGAAUCACCAUGGGAGCUGCAACGCUGCGAAUGUCUCAGGUACAUGCAGUGCUAGUCCUGUGCAUCUUGCUGCCGUCAUUUCUACCUGUUUCCCUCUCUGCCCGUCCAGGUAAACCACACCCUUUAUUCUUGGUUUGUCAUUUGUGUGACCAUGUCACCAGUACUCUUCUUUCUAGUCCAAGUGAUUGAUUUGGUGCAACUUGGUAAGAGAUGGCCUAGCUAGAUACUUUGAUUAUGAUCUUCUUCAGUAUCAACUAAUGGCAGUGAUUGAUGGCAAACUGGAGGGGAUGACUGUGCCUUCCCGGCUGAUGCUAGGAGGUCAUCAGUUAAUUCACGAUGGCUCAAUGAGACGGGAUCGAACUUUGUGGGAUGGCGGUACUGGCUGGGGACACCCCGUUCCUAUCAACUCGGCGCGGAAAACCAUACGAGGAAAGCCUGGCAAUUGAUAUUCUCUACUGGAAAAGAGUGAACGUACCGGUGGAAUGAAUUCUUGGUAGAUGCUUUUCAUGUCCUGGCCGAUAUAGUAUGCCAGUUUCCUAUCAAUACUGCACCAUGCAAAUAAUAAUUGAUGUGCUCCAUGGAGAGGGUAUAAACUGUUGGAUGAUGUACUGUAGUACUAGGAGGACAUUACUUUGUCCCAUGACUGCCAUCAUUUAUCUGUUUUUGUACCGAGAUGUUAGCAACUUAUAAAAGCAAACUUUAUUUAUUUGACCUUUGAGGACU
Panicum virgatum (switchgrass) is the source of this 4702-nucleotide long non-coding RNA. RefSeq lists it as uncharacterized. Lineage: Eukaryota; Viridiplantae; Streptophyta; Magnoliopsida; Poales; Poaceae. The transcript has 4 exons. The record is from RefSeq and is a predicted model, not a curated record.